AGAGUUUGAUUAUGGCUCAGGAUGAACGCUGGCGGCGUGCUUAACGCAUGCAAGUCGAACGAGGUCCAACCUUCGGGUGAAGACCGAGUGGCGAACGGGUGAGUAACACGUGGGGAACCUGCCCUUCUCUCUGGGAUAACCUCGGGAAACCGAAGCUAAUACCGGAUACUCCUUGCGGACCGCAUGGUCUGCUCGGGAAAGCUCCGGCGGAGAAGGAUGGCCCCGCGGCCCAUUAGCUUGUUGGUGGGGUAACGGCCCACCAAGGCGACGAUGGGUAGCCGAGCUGAGAGGCUGAUCGGCCACACUGGGACUGAGACACGGCCCAGACUCCUACGGGAGGCAACAGUGGGGAAUCUUGCGCAAUGGGCGAAAGCCUGACGCAGCAACGCCGCGUGCGGGAUGAAGGCUCUCGGGUCGUAAACCGCUUUCAGCAGGGAUGAAAAUGACAGUACCUGCAGAAGAAGCCCCGGCUAAAUACGUGCCAGCAGCCGCGGUAAUACGUAUGGGGCAAGCGUUAUCCGGAUUCAUUGGGCGUAAAGCGCGCGUAGGCGGCUUGUUAAGUCAGGCGUGAAAUCCGGGGGCUCAACCCGCGGCUUGCGUCUGAAACUGGCAGGCUUGAGUCUGGUAGAGGAAAGUGGAAUUCCUGGUGUAGCGGUGAAAUGCGCAGAUAUCAGGAGGAACACCAGUGGCGAAGGCGGCUUUCUGGGCCACGACUGACGCUGAGGCGCGAAAGCUAGGGGAGCGAACAGGAUUAGAUACCCUGGUAGUC
Molecule: ribosomal RNA, 769 nt
Filed under: uncultured Actinomycetes bacterium
Lineage: Bacteria; Bacillati; Actinomycetota; Actinomycetes
Description: bacterial SSU rRNA
Rfam family: Bacterial small subunit ribosomal RNA
Source: RNAcentral